UGAGAUACAGGAAUAAAGCAAAGUGAUAAAAUGUUAACAUUGGGGGAAUCUGGGUGAAAAGUAUGUAGGCCUAUGAGAAUUAUUUUUAUUAUUCAUGUAACUUUUCUGUGAGUCUAAAAUUGUAUCAAAGUUUAAAGUUAGGCUGGGUGUGGUGGCUUAUGCCUAUAAUCCCAGCACUUUGGGAGGCUGAGGCAGGCAUAUCAUUUGAGGUCAGGAGUUCGAGACCAGCCUGGUCACCAUGGUGAAACCCCAUCUAUUAAAAAUACAAAAAUUAGCCAGGCAUGGUGGCAUGUGUCUGUAAUCUCAGCUACUUGGGAGGCUGAGGCACGAGAAUCGCUUGAACUUGGGAGACAGAGGUUGCAGUGAGCCGAGAUCGUGCCACUGCACUGCAGCCUGUCUCUAAUAAUGAUAAUAAUAAUAAUAAUAAUAAUAGUAAGUUAAAGGAAGAGAAGAGAGCCAUUAGGCUCUGGUCCCUUCUUUGCUCUGUAUAAAUGUGUAAUUUUGGCUAAGUCUCUGCACCCCUGGGUCUCCUCCUGCCCUUCCAGUUGGAGGCCUCGUGGCUUGCCUUUCUUGUUCUGCCUCCUCCCAGCUAAUUUCCAGAUUGACACCUUGUCUCCUCUUCCUGAGUCAAUGUUUCUUUCGCACUGCGCCCUGAUAGCUGAUCUCUUUGGCUUAAAGCCCCUUGAGAUCUGGGCCACCAUGGAGGUUUUUGUCCAGCAUCCAGGACGUUUUUUGCCGACUUGGGCUUGUACUCCAAACAGAUCAAGACAACCCUCAAGUCAACUCAGAAGCAGGUCUUGUUUCCAUGGAGAUGUAUUUAAGAUGAGCCUCCAGAGCACAGCACUCAUUUACUUUGAGCAAAGACUCAACUCCAGAAUCCUUCCCAAUCCAACAGUCCAGGCUGUCAUUACUAAUCAGAAUGGGCAAGUGGUUUCCAACUCAUUUGCCAAGGUAGAGAAAAGAAGAGCAGGAAGAAAGAGGAUAAAGACAGAGGAACAAAUACCAGACCAGCAAACUUACCUGAAUCCAGCUGCCCUCAGAAUAUGGCUGAGGCUUGGUCAAAGCCCAGAACUUAGCAAGGGUUAG
RNAcentral lists this long non-coding RNA (1086 nucleotides) under Pan troglodytes (chimpanzee). RNAcentral's name for it is "lncRNA (ENSPTRG00000053050.1)". Lineage: Eukaryota; Metazoa; Chordata; Mammalia; Primates; Hominidae. The record is from RNAcentral.